Molecule: non-coding RNA, 2273 nt
Organism: Callithrix jacchus (white-tufted-ear marmoset)
Lineage: Eukaryota; Metazoa; Chordata; Mammalia; Primates; Cebidae
Source: RefSeq, a predicted model, not a curated record
AAAAUCAUCGUUUAAGAUUUUUAUCUUAAGGUCUGAGUAAUUUAUUUGAUAAUUUGUGUAUGAGUGUGUAUUACAAAACUAAAUUAUUCUGAGCCCUGGAUUAACUUAAUUGAAUUCAAUAAAUAGUGCCUAUAUCCGGGGACAGAAACAAGAGAAAGUAAUUGCAAAAGUAUCCCAUAAAUUUAUAAAGUGUUCAGAUACACAGAUACUCUCUUUAAGAUAUAGCAAAUUAUCUUCAGUAUUAAAGACCUUAGUAUUUUUCCAAGGCGUGAAAGGAUAACUCGGUAAUAACUGAAGUCUCAACAAAGAUUAUCAUGUAAUCACUUUAAUGCAAAUAUUUUGAUGUUAAAAGGCAGAGAAUGAUAGUAUAGGUCCUCUUAAUAUUGAGAGCUGUAUUUUAGCAAUCUUCUUCCUCCUCCUCUUGCACCCUCCUCCUCUUGCACCCUCCUCCCCGUCCCCCUUCCCCUCUUCUUCUUCCUCCUCUUCCUUUUCUUCUCCUCUCCUUUCCUCCUCUUCCUUCUUCUUCCUCCUUUUCUUUUUUCUUUUUUCUAUUCCUCUUCCUCUUCUGCUUUCUUCUGUCUUUUUCUCUUGAGACAGGUUCUAACUCUGUCAUGGAGGCUAGAGUGCAGUGGCAUGAUCUCAGCUCACUGCAACUUUUGCCUUUCAGGUUCAAAUAAUUCUCCUGCCUCAGCCUCCCGAGUAGCUAGGACUACAGGCAUGUGCCACCACACCUAGCUAACUUUUGUAUUUUUAGUAGAAACAGGGUUUCACCAUGUUGGCCAGCCUGUUCUUGAACUUCUAACCUCAAGUAAUCUGCCCACCUCAGCCUUCCAGAGUGCUAAGCUUACAGGCCUGAGCCACUGUGCCCAGCCUCAAUUUCCUUCUAAGAUAAAGUUUACAUCAGGGUUCUCUGUGAGGAAAACAAAAGUUGGACAGAGCCAGGGUUUUAAUAAAAUACAGUUUUAUGCGUUGUGAUAAAUGAAAUAAUGCCCCACAAAAGUGCCGUUGUUUAAACCCCUUAGUUCUAGGAAUAUAUUUUGGUAUAUAAUAAAGAGAAAAGAGGCUGCAGAUAAAAUCAAGAGUGAUAAUCAGUUGACUCUAAAAUAAGGAGAUUAAUUGAAUUAUGAAUUUGGUGUCUACCACUAUACUACCCAGAAUGCACCUGAUCUUACCUGAAUUGAGUGUGAACCUAAGGUAAUCACAAAGUUCUUAAAUGUGAAAGAGAGGCUGAGAAAAUUAAUGCUGUGAUGUGAGAGUCAGAUUAUUUUUCAGUAUUUAAAUUGUGUAUACACACAAAUAUUCUUAGAAUAUAUGCACUACAUAUAUGGUGUAUAAAAUAAUGUUGAGGCUGUUUUAAUUUAUGUAAUAGAAUUAUUGAAUAAAAGAACUUUAUAAAGACUUUUUAAAAAUGUAUGUAAUCGAAUUAUUCAAGAAUUUUAUAAGAUAAAAACAUUGUUAGUGAUGAUUUUGAACAUACAAUAAAUAACGAUGUAAAGUUUUUUAUUUUGAGAUAUGUGAAAUAUGUUUUUCUUUCACAUUUUAGACUAUUACAUUCUACUUAUGUUUUCAUGGAAAAAUGCCUUUUUUCAAGCUGGCAUUGGAAUCUUAACCAUCAGCUUCCUCACUUUCUUCCACGUCAUUACACUUUUCCUGUAAUGCAGGCCUAAGCCCACUGACCUGGCCAUUUAUCAUGUGGCCCUCAUCCACAGUGAUGCUUCUCGCUAAGGUGUCAUUGUUGGCUCCAGGUCUGUUUGAGUCACUGUAUUUUCUGAAUGAUUUCAAGUGUGAAGUGUUUUUCUAUCGAACAAGGUGAUAUGAAGUUUCUCCAUCUGCACUACCUGCCUCCUGAGUGUGCUUCAAUCCAUAAUCAUCAGCCCCAGCAGCUCUUUGGUACCAGAAAUAAUCCAGUACUUUCAUAGCACCAGCCUCUCCCCACGACUGUCCCCAGAGAAAAGUGCCACUCAGACCAUCCUGCUGCCAGUGAGUUACUUUGCAUCAUCUAUUGGGUUGAUUUCAUCAUCUCAUUCACCGCAACCCUGAUAGGUGCAUAUGACCCUGUUGUUUUGGGUGUCCAGAGGCUUGUGCGCAAUAUAUAUGCCACUUUCAGUCCUUUGGUGCUACUCAGAUCUGAUAAAGGGAUAAUCAAUGUGAUGCUGACUGAGACAGGUUAACAAGUUAUUUUAUUAAAAACAGAUAAUUCUGUCACCAAAUUAUUUCAGUAGUACAGAGCUUGCUAUCUAAUUUAAAUUAAAUGUAUGAAUUUACACUUUCAA